Dermacentor albipictus is the source of this 1025-nucleotide non-coding RNA. NCBI's taxonomy places the organism in Eukaryota, Metazoa, Arthropoda, Arachnida, Ixodida, Ixodidae. The record is from RefSeq and is a predicted model, not a curated record.
GUAAGGGGCGGGACAUCCUCGAUGGCUCCGCAGAUUUCGUUGCCCAGCGCGUCGGCGUCUUUAGCUGCACACACGGGUACCGGCGAAGCAGAGGCAGGGAGCAGGGCGCUGUCUAUCGACAGCAACAACGCCUGUAAGACGACAACGAAACGCGUGGAAUGUAUUUUGUCUUGGCCCUCUGAGAUUUUACCCAACAUUUCGCUAUCACCGGGACCAGGGUUCGCCUCAUGACAUCUCCGCAAACAAGCAAAUCAACCGGCAAUGGAUAAAUACAUGUCAGCAAAGAUUUUGCACCCAGUGGACAGGGCAGCAGCAGCAAAUAACGAUUAUCACUUCUGUAACAAUAUCCAGAUCUCUGCACGACCGAUCGCUGGCGAGGGAGGACGAGAGGAGGAGGAGGAGAACGAGAGAGAGUCACGUAGGUAGAGGGGAUUCGGCGGAAGACGGCCUGGGGUGCGGAGGUGUACGCUCGUGGAGCCAAAGAACCCCAGCGUAAAGGUCUUCACCCAGCCGCAUCAAAGCUUCCCCGAUGGCCUGGUGUCUACCGGGCACGAAGUAAGCAGGGACCGCUCGAGGAAGGCUGCUGGGAUGCGGGGGCGCGUGCUUGACGGGCGCCUGGACCCGGGCUCGUAGAGGCCUCCACCCAGUCGCGUUGUGGUUUCCCGUCGACGACCCGUGCCAUCUCUCAGCUGCAAGGCUUGGCCGUUCUCGAGCGUCACUGUGCUGCCUACGCCGUCCGGACUUCUAACCAGGAUAAACAACCGACCGUGGUGAACUUUUUCUUUCCACGGUUUUGAUGAGAUGAACUGGGACUCUUCGGUUAACUCUGUACAUUUGCCAGGGCUACGUUAAGCCACAAGUUUAUGUAUUGAACUUGCGCGAUUUCCUGCAUGCCCUCUGGUCGCAAUUCCGUGCAAUGGUUCCCUUCUUGGCAGUACGUUGGGAUAUUGUAGGCUAAACGCCAUAGCGCUGUUUGCCACUGCUCUGGUUUCUGCUUUAUAAAGUGUGGUCUUUGUGUGUCUUAA